RNAcentral lists this long non-coding RNA (299 nucleotides) under Olea europaea subsp. europaea. The record is from RNAcentral. Lineage: Eukaryota; Viridiplantae; Streptophyta; Magnoliopsida; Lamiales; Oleaceae.
AUGAAAGGUUGCAAGCUUUCCUCCAAAAAACCGCCAGAAUUCAAGUUAGAACUGGGCACCAACGGUCGCAUAAAACAACAAUGCGACAGCAAAGCCAAAGCCAGUCAGGCAAUUUUGUACCUCAUUUCCCAAGUCCUUGAUUUUAUGCUCCACCACACUCACUUGCAUCAUUGUUUCACGAUCCAGUGGUAUCGAUUCAAUCCAUCCUUCAAGCCGUAGUUACGAUUCUAACGCCUCAAACUUCACAUCGUCUUCUAUUGCUUCUCAAUCUGCAUCCCUUCUGCAUACAAGGUAAGAAU